GAUGAACGCUGGCUACAGGCUUAACACAUGCAAGUCGAGGGGAAACGCCGGGGAAGCUUGCUUCCCCGGGCGUCGACCGGCGCACGGGUGAGUAACGCGUAUCCAACCUGCCUCUGACUGAGGGAUAACCCGCCGAAAGUCGGCCUAAUACCUCAUGGUAUCGUCUGCGGGCAUCCAACGACGAUUAAAGAUUUCAUCGGUCAGGGAUGGGGAUGCGUCUGAUUAGCUUGUUGGCGGGGUAACGGCCCACCAAGGCUACGAUCAGUAGGGGUUCUGAGAGGAAGGUCCCCCAGAUGGGAACUGAGACACGGGCCAAACAGCUACGGGAGACAGCAGUGAGGAAUGUAGAGCGAGGGACGAGAGCCUGAACCAGCCAAGUGGGGUGCAGGAAGACGGCGCUAGGGAUUGUAAACUGCUUGUAUGCGAGGGUAAAGUGAGGGACGUGUCCCUCAUUGAAGGUACCGAAUGAAUAAGGACCGGCUAAUUCCGUG
Molecule: ribosomal RNA, 491 nt
Filed under: uncultured bacterium
Lineage: Bacteria
Description: partial 16S ribosomal RNA
Rfam family: Bacterial small subunit ribosomal RNA
Source: RNAcentral